GCCUCGGUAGCCUAGCCCGGUGGGGCGUUACCUUGGUAAGGUAAUGGUCGCGGGUCCAAAUCCCGCCCGAGGCUCCA
RNAcentral lists this transfer RNA (77 nucleotides) under Candidatus Bathyarchaeota archaeon. RNAcentral describes it as "tRNA-Thr". It matches the Rfam family "tRNA". Rfam says of the family: Transfer RNA (tRNA) molecules are approximately 80 nucleotides in length. Their secondary structure includes four short double-helical elements and three loops (D, anti-codon, and T loops). Further hydrogen bonds mediate the characteristic L-shaped molecular structure. tRNAs have two regions of fundamental functional importance: the anti-codon, which is responsible for specific mRNA codon recognition, and the 3' end, to which the tRNAs corresponding amino acid is attached (by aminoacyl-tRNA synthetases). tRNAs cope with the degeneracy of the genetic code in two manners: having more than one tRNA (with a specific anti-codon) for a particular amino acid; and 'wobble' base-pairing, i.e. permitting non-standard base-pairing at the 3rd anti-codon position. The record is from RNAcentral. RNAcentral also lists the same sequence under 6 other names. Lineage: Archaea; Thermoproteati; Candidatus Bathyarchaeota.